CCUUUGUACACACCGCCCGUCGCUACUACCGAUUGAAUGGCUUAGUGAGGUCUCCGGAUUGGCUUCGGGGAGCGGGCAACCGCACCCUGUUGCUGAGAAGCUGAUCAAACUUGGUCAUUUAGAGG
This 125-nucleotide ribosomal RNA is filed under the name Paxillus vernalis. Its description in RNAcentral is "partial small subunit ribosomal RNA". It matches the Rfam family "Eukaryotic small subunit ribosomal RNA", at positions 1657 to 1779 of the family's 1831-position model. The record is from RNAcentral. Lineage: Eukaryota; Fungi; Basidiomycota; Agaricomycetes; Boletales; Paxillaceae.